GACGAACGCUGGCGGCGUGCUUAACACAUGCAAGUCGAACGGAAAGGCCCUGCUUGUGGGGUAUUCGCGAGUGGCGAGCGGGUGAGUAACACGGGAGUAACCUGCCCUUGACUGUGGUAUAACUGCAGGAAACUGUGGCUUAUACCGGAUAGGAGCUCCUGCUGCAUGGUGGGGGUUGGAAAGUUUCGGGGGGGGGGGAUGGGCGCGCGGCUUGUAAGCUGGUUGGUGGGUGACUGGCUUACAAAGGCGUUGCUGGGUGGCCGGCCUGGGUGGGUGACCGGCAACAUUGGGCCUGGGAUACGGCCCAGCCCCCACGGGGAGGAAGGAGUGGGGAUUAUUCAACAAGGGGCGGAAGCCGGAGGAAGCAACGCCGCGUGCGGGAUGACGGCCUUCGGGUGGUAACCCGUUUCCGCAUGUGCCGAAGCGUGAGUGACGGUAAUGGGUAAAGAAGCACCGGCUAACUACGUG
RNAcentral lists this ribosomal RNA (468 nucleotides) under uncultured bacterium. RNAcentral's name for it is "partial 16S ribosomal RNA". It matches the Rfam family "Bacterial small subunit ribosomal RNA", at positions 28 to 507 of the family's 1533-position model. The record is from RNAcentral.